This 523-nucleotide ribosomal RNA is filed under the name Timarete caribous. RNAcentral's name for it is "partial 16S ribosomal RNA". It matches the Rfam family "Bacterial large subunit ribosomal RNA", at positions 1824 to 2604 of the family's 2925-position model. Lineage: Eukaryota; Metazoa; Annelida; Polychaeta; Terebellida; Cirratulidae. The record is from RNAcentral.
UGCCACUUGUUCAACCACCCAUAAGUGGUACAUCCUGCCCAGUGAAAACCUUCAACGGCCGCGGUAGCCCGUGCUAAGGUAGCACAAUCACUCGCCUCUUAAUUAGAGGAAAGUAUGAAUGGACAAACGAAAGCCCCGCUGUCUCACCUCCAAAAAUAAAAAUUAUCCUUUGGGCGAAGAGACCCAAAUUCAGUAAAAAGACAAAAAGACCCUGUAGAGCUUUAUUAUCACCGUGCCACUAACUCCCUAAUAAUUACAGCAAAAUGAGUGCGUUAAAAUUUGGUUGGGGCAACCAGGGGUUCAACAAACCACCCCCUAAACUCUAAGACUUAAUACGUCAUAAAAUGAAGUAGUUUCCACUUACUAUAACUAAGCAACAGCUACCUCAGGGAUAACAGGCCAAUCCUUCUCAAGAGUCCAUAUCGACAGAAUGGGCUUGGUACCUCGAUGUUGGCUUAAGGUAAUCACCAAAGUGCAGAAGCUUUAGUGAUAGGUCUGUUCGACCUUUAAUUCCUUUCAUGAG